This 230-nucleotide ribosomal RNA is filed under the name uncultured Alicycliphilus sp. Its description in RNAcentral is "partial 16S ribosomal RNA". It matches the Rfam family "Bacterial small subunit ribosomal RNA", at positions 550 to 774 of the family's 1533-position model. Lineage: Bacteria; Pseudomonadati; Pseudomonadota; Betaproteobacteria; Burkholderiales; Comamonadaceae. The record is from RNAcentral.
AGCUGAUCACUGGGUUUAAAGGGUGCGCAGGCGGUUUUGUAAGACAGAGGUGAAAUCCCCGGGCUCAACCUGGGAACUGCCUUUGUGACUGCAAGGCUGGAGUGCGGCAGAGGGGGAUGGAAUUCCGCGUGUAGCAGUGAAAUGCGUAGAUAUGCGGAGGAACACCGAUGGCGAAGGCAAUCCCCUGGGCCUGCACUGACGCUCAUGCACGAAAGCGUGGGGAGCAAACA